RNAcentral lists this ribosomal RNA (506 nucleotides) under uncultured bacterium. RNAcentral describes it as "partial 16S ribosomal RNA". It matches the Rfam family "Bacterial small subunit ribosomal RNA", at positions 28 to 507 of the family's 1533-position model. The record is from RNAcentral.
GAUGAACGCUGGCGGCGUGCUUAACACAUGCAAGUCGAACGAAGCAUUUGCGACAUCUUUUUUCGGAAUGAAGUUGCUUAUGACUGAGUGGCGGACGGGUGAGUAACGCGUGGGUAACCUGCCUUGUACUGGGGGAUAGCAGCUGGAAACGGCUGGUAAUACCGCAUAAGCGCACAAUGUUGCAUGACAUUGUGUGAAAACCUCCGGUGGUAUAAGAUGGACCCGCGUCUGAUUAGCUAGUUGGUGAGGUAACAGCCCACCAAGGCUACGAUGCGUAGCCGACCGGAGAGGGGGCACGGCCACACUCGAACUGAGACAGCGUCGACACUCCUACGGGAGGCGGAAGUAGGGAAUAUUGCGGAAUGGGCGAAAGCCUGACGGAGCAAAGCCGCGUGAGGGAGGAAGGGCUUCGGAUCGGAAAACUCUGUUAGUCGGGAAGAACAAAUGUGUAAGGAACUAUGCACGUCUUGACGGUACCUAAUCAGAAAGCCACGGCUAACUACUUG